Molecule: non-coding RNA, 52 nt
Filed under: unclassified sequences
Description: Mu-gpT-DE RNA
Rfam family: Mu-gpT-DE RNA
Source: Rfam by way of RNAcentral
CCCUGACAGCGGCGUUGGGCCGCUGACACUUACCCGACAGGAGAUUCUCAUG